AAUAUUAUUAAUAUGUUGUUUUAAUAGGGGUUAAAACUUCAGUCUUUUAACAAUUGUCUCAUGGAUUCGUGGUAUAGCGUUACUUAAUAAUAAUUAUAAACUGUGAAAUAUAAAUAUUUUAUAAAAAUAAAAUUUGCAAGUUUAAAUAUAUAUUACUUUUAGAAAAUAAAUCGUCCUGCGGUAUAUCGCGGGUUAAAAUCUAGUUAGUUUUAUGUUUUAUUACUAGAUGAUGAUGACAAAAAGAAAAUGUGAAAAAGGCACAAGAAGUGCAUCAAAUGAAGUGCAUGGGUUGGGAACAUGAACAUGUAAAUUU
RNAcentral lists this small RNA (313 nucleotides) under Arabidopsis thaliana (thale cress). RNAcentral describes it as "ATSL156930". Lineage: Eukaryota; Viridiplantae; Streptophyta; Magnoliopsida; Brassicales; Brassicaceae. The record is from RNAcentral.